GGAGCUCAAGUUCAAAGGCUAAGAAGUGGCCAAGCAGAUCCCAUCAGCCGGGGGCCUCCUCCACCCCCCGAUGCUCAAGGAGUGGUGAGGAGCAAGUAGAAUGAAGAGACAGCCCUUUGUAAACGCAAGUGCACCGAACACGAUGGGGCUGUCAUCCUGAAGCGUGGGAGAAACGGGAAGGGGCCCCGUCUGGAGAUAAGCAAACUAAGGCUUGGAGAGCUGAGAGCUGAGAUCACAGGCCCAGGCUGUAAGAGGGAAGGUGGGACCAGAAAGAAUCCACAUUGCUCUCACCACCUCAAGAACUCUGAGGGCUGUGCUCACCGCUGUUCUGAAGCAUCACUUCCGCUCUGAAGAUCAGGGCAGCCCGAUUUCCCACGCGAGAGCGGAUAGGUACUGUUCCAACAUUCAACAAUUCCAUGUUAGAAAUACACUUGAAUUUGCACGCUGGAAAUUUUGAGAGGUAGUGGGGCCCCUGUGCCUGGAGUUGGGAGCACCUGAGCUGAGGAAGUGUAGAUAUGAAAAAGGACACGUGAGGACCGCUGAGCGGUUGGUGUAAAUGAAUCACCAUGUUACUUUUACGUUUUAAUAGCAGGAAAACGUCUUCUCUUCUCAGGCCCUCUUGUUAGGUUGGAGGACUAAGGUAGGCGGGCACAUGUGGGUUACAGUGAUGUGUGUCAGAGCAAGACAGUGCUGCCGCUCCCAGUGCAGGGGUGCCAGCCUCCUGGACACUUCCUGGCUUGUUCACAAGCUCUUUGCAAUCAGAGAGCCGCAGCACCGACCCACAGGGCUGCCCAAGACCCUGGGGCACAACUUUCUUCAGAUCUUGUUUCUUUUUUAUUUAUUUCUUUCUGUUUUUUAGGGCUGCCCCUGGGAUCUGAGCCAUGUCUGUGACCUACCCCACAGCUCACGACCAUGCUGGAUCCUUAACCAACUGAGCAAGGAGAGGGAUCGAACCCUCACCCUCCUGGAUACUAGUUGGGUUCAUUACUGCCGAGCCACGACAGGAACUCCUCUUUAGUUCUUGUUUUAUUCAUUCAUUCAUUCAUUCAUUCAUUCAUUUACUUAUUUAUUAUGGCCCCAGAGUGGCUUAUGGAAGUUCCUCAGCCAGGGGCCUGAAUCCACAGCCACACCAGAUCCUUUAACCCACUGCUCCGGGAUGGGAAUUGAGCCCACGCCUCUGCAGUGACUGGAGCUGCUACCCCAGUCUUCGGAGAGUCCCAGAGCCUGCCUCUCAGAGCCUCUCGUCUGGCUUUCAGGGUGCAAAGCCCCUCCUCCCGCAGGUGCCAUGUCCCCACAGGGCACUCCCGCCCAGUUCAGCCUCCGCCCUGGCCCCUUUGAGACUCCCCAGCACCAGCAGGACAAAUCACCCUCUUCUCUGGGCUAGGCUGGGCCUUUGGGUUUGUUCUGUUGCCCCCUCGUUCCGCAUCUGCCUCCUGCGGGCUGGUCAUCACGCAGACGGGAUUGAAGAAGGCAUGUCCCCCCGGCCUCCCUCUCAGGGUGGAGCAGCCAUCAUUCCUGGUGCUCAGCUGCCCGGAAGUCUCCCUUUCAUCCUCGUGAUGGUUAAUUUCCGUGUCCACUUGCCUGGGCUAAGGGAUGUCCAGACAGCUGGUCACACAUCACUUCUGGGUGUGUCUGUGUGGAAGGUUCCAGAAGAGAGGAGCACUGGAAUCAAUGGACUGAGUGAAGAAGUGGAUGGGCAUCACCCGUUCCCCGAGGACGCAAACAGAACAUAAAGAUGAGCCACGUGCUCUCUGAGCUGGGACCUCCGCCUUCUGCUUUUGGGCAUCACGCUUCUAAGCUCCGCAGAACUUUAGACCCAGACUGAAUUCUACCACCCACUUUCCUGCUUCUCCAGCUUGCAGAUGACAGACUGCGGGGGUUUGGAGCCUCAUAAUUGCAGGAACUAAUUCUUGUACUAAAUGUAUAUAAAAUGUAUGUUUAUAUAGAAAACUU
RNAcentral lists this long non-coding RNA (1953 nucleotides) under Sus scrofa (pig). Its description in RNAcentral is "lncRNA (ENSSSCG00060038710.1)". Lineage: Eukaryota; Metazoa; Chordata; Mammalia; Artiodactyla; Suidae. The record is from RNAcentral.